Molecule: ribosomal RNA, 253 nt
Filed under: uncultured bacterium
Lineage: Bacteria
Description: partial 16S ribosomal RNA
Rfam family: Bacterial small subunit ribosomal RNA
Source: RNAcentral
UACGUAGGAUGCAAGCGUUGUCCGGAAUUAUUGGGCGUAAAGAGCGUGUAGGCGGCUCGCUAAGUCUUGCGUGAAAUCUCGGGGCUCAACCCCGAGCGGUCGUGAGAAACUGGCGGGCUAGAGUGCGGGAGAGGAGAGUGGAAUUCCUGGUGUAGCGGUGAAAUGCGCAGAUAUCAGGAAGAACACCCGUGGCGAAGGCGGCUCUCUGGAACGCAACUGACGCUGAGACGCGAAAGCGUGGGGAGCAAACAGG